AUUGAACGCUGGCGGCAGGCCUAACACAUGCAAGUCGAACGGCAGCGGGGGAUAGCUUGCUAUCCUGCCGGCGAGUGGCGGACGGGUGAGUAAUGCAUGGGGAGCUGCCCAGUCGAGGGGGAUAACAACUGGAAACGGUUGCUAAUACCGCAUACGCCCUUUGGGGGAAAGGUGGGGAACUUCGGUCCUACCGCGAUUGGAUGCGCCCAUGUGGGAUUAGCUAGUUGGUGAGGUAACGGCUCACCAAGGCGACGAUCUCUAGCUGGUCUGAGAGGAUGACCAGCCACACUGGGACUGAGACACGGUCCAGACUCCUACGGGAGGCAGCAGUGGGGAAUAUUGCACAAUGGGGGAAACCCUGAUGCAGCCAUGCCGCGUGUGUGAAGAAGGCCUUCGGGUUGUAAAGCACUUUCAGUCAGGAGGAAGGGGUGAUGGCUAAUAUCCAUCAUCAUUGACGUUACUGACAGAAGAAGCACCGGCUAACUCCGUGCCAGCAGCCGCGGUAA
RNAcentral lists this ribosomal RNA (506 nucleotides) under uncultured bacterium. RNAcentral's name for it is "partial 16S ribosomal RNA". It matches the Rfam family "Bacterial small subunit ribosomal RNA", at positions 30 to 523 of the family's 1533-position model. The record is from RNAcentral.